This is a non-coding RNA of Acanthosepion pharaonis, 112 nucleotides long. NCBI's taxonomy places the organism in Eukaryota, Metazoa, Mollusca, Cephalopoda, Sepiida, Sepiidae. The record is from the annotation of a GenBank genome assembly.
UUACGGUCAUAUCACGUCAAAACACCAGUUCUCGUACGAUCACCGAAGCUAAGCAACAUGGAACUUGGUCAUAACCUAUAUGGGUGACCGCUUGGGAGUACCAAGUGCUAUA